UACGGAGGGUGCGAGCGUUUAAUCGGAAUUACUGGGCGUAAAGCGUGCGCAGGCGGUUUGCUAAGACAGGUGUGAAAUCCCCGGGCUUAACCUGGGAACUGCGCUUGUAACUGGCAAGCUUGAGUGUGGCAGAGGGGGGUGGAAUUCCAGCGUGUAGCAGUGAAAUGCGUAGAGAUGUGGAGGAACACCAGUGGCGAAGGCGACGUCUUUGGCCUGUAACGUGACGCUUGAGGCGCGAAAGCGUGGGGAGCAAAGCAGG
This 259-nucleotide ribosomal RNA is filed under the name uncultured bacterium. RNAcentral's name for it is "partial 16S ribosomal RNA". It matches the Rfam family "Bacterial small subunit ribosomal RNA", at positions 524 to 777 of the family's 1533-position model. The record is from RNAcentral.